This 371-nucleotide ribosomal RNA is filed under the name uncultured bacterium. RNAcentral's name for it is "bacterial SSU rRNA". It matches the Rfam family "Bacterial small subunit ribosomal RNA", at positions 527 to 896 of the family's 1533-position model. The record is from RNAcentral.
AGAGGUGGCAAGCGUUGUACGGAAUUACUGGGCGUAAAGGGCGCGUAGGUGGCCUUCUAAGUCAGACGUGAAAUCCCCCGGCUUAACCUGGGAACUGCGUCUGAUACUGGGAGGCUUGAGUAUGGGAGAGGGAUGUAGAAUUCCAGGUGUAGCGGUGAAAUGCGUAGAUAUCUGGAGGAAUACCGGUGGCGAAGGCGGCAUCCUGGACCAUAACUGACGCUGAGGCGCGAAAGCUAGGGGAGCAAACGGGAUUAGAUACCCCGGUAGUCCUAGCCCUAAACGAUGAAUACUUGGUGUGGCGGGUAUCGAUCCCUGCCGUGCCGAAGCUAACGCAUUAAGUAUUCCGCCUGGGGAGUACGGUCGCAAGGCUA